RNAcentral lists this long non-coding RNA (587 nucleotides) under Cricetulus griseus (Chinese hamster). Its description in RNAcentral is "lncRNA (ENSCGRG00015042588.1)". The record is from RNAcentral. Lineage: Eukaryota; Metazoa; Chordata; Mammalia; Rodentia; Cricetidae.
CUUUGUUGUUUGGCCUGACUGUCUGUCUCAGUGUGUGUCUCUUUGUUUGUUUUGGUUUUUCACCAUCUGACUGCCAUGGGACAACAACUAAAGACCCCUUUAAGUUUGACUCUAGACCACUGGGGAGACGUUUGGGACCGGGCCAACAACCAGUCCCUGGACAUAAAGAAGGAAAAAAUGGCAAACUUUCUGCAGUUCCAAAUGGCCAACAUUUAAUGUUGGUUGGCCUCGGGACGGUUCUUUUAAUCUUGAGAUUAUUUUACAGGUAGAAGAAAAAGUGUUAGAUUCUGGACCCCCAUGGACACCCUGGCCAGGCAGGACCGGGCUCAGACUGUGGACAGGCUACAGGACACUGGAGAAUUGAUUGCACCACCUUUGCCUAGACAAAAUAAGGUCAGUCUUUUCCAUGUCCCUCUUCCACAGAGAGAAAAAACUCUCACUUUAUGGACCUGGCAAAGAUUUACUUCUGCCCCCAACACUAUUGAGACUUGGGUAUGGCUAACUUUACAUGGACUGGACCCUGUCAUUUUUAAUAGAUUCAAAAGUUACACAGAAUUUAUCCUUCUCAGAUCUCUGAUAGAAUUGAU